Long non-coding RNA from Fukomys damarensis (Damara mole-rat), 243 nucleotides. RefSeq lists it as uncharacterized. The record is from RefSeq and is a predicted model, not a curated record. The transcript is spliced from 2 exons. Lineage: Eukaryota; Metazoa; Chordata; Mammalia; Rodentia; Bathyergidae.
ACAACCAAAGCCAGGUAUGGUAGCACACACCUGUAACGCCAGCACUUUGGAGACUGAAGUAGAAGAAUCAGCACAAGUUCAAGGCCAGCUGGGACGUUUCCUUCUGUAUGUAUUUGGGCCACCGUGAAAGAUCAAUAUGAAUUAUAUGUUACAAAAUCCAUACAAAUGCAAGAAGAGUACCUUAUAAGUAUACCACAUUAAAAAGCAAGAGUUAUACACAACAGCAAACAUCCUUCUGUUGAA